GACAGAGGUCCCGAGCGUUAGGCGGAAUCACUGGGCUUAAAGCGUGUGUAGGUGGAUGCCUAAGUACCUUGUGAAAUCCCACGGCUUAACCGUGGAAUUGCUUGGUAUACUGGGUGUCUUGAGCCACUUAGGGGCAACCGGAACAAAUGGUGGAGCGGUGAAAUGCGUAGAUAUCAUUUGGAACGCCAAUGGUGAAAACAGGUUGCUGGGAGUGUGCUGACACUGAGACACGAAAGCCAGGGGAGCAAACGGG
Molecule: ribosomal RNA, 253 nt
Filed under: uncultured bacterium
Lineage: Bacteria
Description: partial 16S ribosomal RNA
Rfam family: Bacterial small subunit ribosomal RNA
Source: RNAcentral